This 472-nucleotide ribosomal RNA is filed under the name uncultured bacterium. RNAcentral describes it as "bacterial SSU rRNA". It matches the Rfam family "Bacterial small subunit ribosomal RNA", at positions 355 to 825 of the family's 1533-position model. The record is from RNAcentral.
UGGGGAAUUUUGGACAAUGGGCGCAAGCCUGACGAAGCAACGCCGCGUGGAGGAUGAAGGUCUUCGGAUUGUAAACUCCUGUCGACCGGGACGAAUGCACUCGACCUAAUACGUCGGAAUGUUGACGGUACCGGUGGAGGAAGCCACGGCUAACUCUGUGCCAGCAGCCGCGGUAAUACAGAGGGUGCAAACGUUGCUCGGAAUUAUUGGGCGUAAAGCGCGUGUAGGCGGCUUGUUAAGUUGGUUGUGAAAACCCAUGGCUCAACCAUGGAAGUGCGUCCAAAACUGGCAAGCUAGAGUUCUGACGAGGAUGGCGGAAUUCCCAGUGUAGAGGUGAAAUUCGUAGAUAUUGGGAGGAACACCGGUGGCGAAGGCGGCCAUCUGGGAAGAUACUGACGCUGAGACGCGAAAGCGUGGGGAGCAAACAGGAUUAGAUACCCGAGUAGUCCCUGAGCGGGCUGGCAAGGCGCAU